This 255-nucleotide unclassified non-coding RNA is filed under the name Moritella viscosa. RNAcentral's name for it is "putative sRNA". The record is from RNAcentral. Lineage: Bacteria; Pseudomonadati; Pseudomonadota; Gammaproteobacteria; Alteromonadales; Moritellaceae.
AAAAAGUUAAAUGAGAAACACUUGAUACUGCUGACAACUGACUAAUUUAAAAUACAUGUAUAACUAACAGCAAAAUAGAUAGGGUCGCAGAUGUAACGGCAGAGCAAGAAAAAUGACACUUUUAUUACAAUUAAGUGCCUAUUUCGCAUUUAAAAUCUCGUGUUUUACAAAAUAAGGAAAAGCUAAAUUAACUAAAAACCACAUCAAGGUAACAUCUCUCCCAAUGACAGGUAGGCAUCUAGACGUCUGAAGUUA